UCGGGCCAGGAAGCGACUCACUCGAGCGAUAACGCAACCUUUGGACUCGGCGCACCAUCUUGUUUCUCCGCCUUCCUCCCUUUCGCUCCCUCUGCUGUACCCGCUUCUCGUCCGGCCGUCGGAAAUAGUGAGUCUCUCUGCCUCUUCUUUAUAACUUCGGCGUCAGACAACGGGCUCCUCCGACGGCGGUCUCUCCUCAGCGGUCUUUCCACCUUCCCUUCCGCCACCGGGCUGAGGCGCGUUUGUCUUCCUCCGGCCGGCGGCAGCAGCUACAGAGGAAGUAUAUAGUGUGUGAAGAAAGAUAAAUCCUCCCUCAGAUCUGGAAUCGUCUUGUACACUCGGCCAGACUUUUUGAAGACGGACAAGUGGCGGCCGUAUCCUCCCUCAGAUCGGUUGGAAACUUGUAGGCUCAUGAUUCCAUAUUCUGUGCAAAUACAGAUGCGCAUUCGAUGGGGCGCUCUUGUCCUAGCGAAGCGGGCGGUCUCUUCCUCGCCUCAACUCAGUCGGAGACUAAAGCAAACAGAGAAUGAAAUCGUUCGGAUGUUCAAGCUUCCGAGCCUUGAAAAUGGCGGCAUGAACUCGCUGACGGUCCGGGAUCGUCAACGCCUAGGCCGUCCGUUGGAUGAGAGGUUCUUGAGAAUAUUGAAAAUCUUUAAAUGGGGGCCGGAUGCGGAGAAGGCCUUGGAGGUGCUGAUGCUGCGGGUUGAUCACCGGCUAGUCCUUGAAGUCCUGAAAACUGAUGUCGAGAUCGGUGUGAAGAUGCAAUUCUUUCACUGGGCCAGCAAAAGGAAGAAUUUUGAGCACAAUGCAGCAACGUACAUGGCCUUGAUUCGCUGCUUGGAUGAAGAGGGAUUGUUUGGCGAGAUGUGGAGAACUAUACAAGAGAUGGUGAGAAGCCCUUGCAUAAUCAUGCCGGUUGAGCUUUCGGAGAUCAUUCGCAUCCUUGGUAGGGCGAAGAUGGUGAAUAAGGCAUGCUCGAUCUUUUAUCAGAUAAAGAUUCGCAAGUGUGAGCCGAAUUCUCAUGCCUAUAACAGCAUGAUCAUCAUGUUGAUGCAAGAAGGCCACCAUGAGAAGGUGCAUGAGCUUUACAAUGAGAUGUGCAAUCAGGGCAACUGUCUUCCUGACACGGUGACUUAUAAUGCGCUGAUUAUGGCAUUCUGCAAGCUAGGUCGUGAGGAUUCGGCUUUUAGGUUGCUCGAGGAGAUGAAAGAAAACAAGUUGCAACCUACUACAAAGAUCUAUACUACCUUGAUGGAAAUGUGUUUCAAGUCGGGGAAUGUGGAAAAGGCAAUGAAUCUGUUGCAAGAUAUGAGGGAUCAGUGUUGUGUGCCAAAUGUUUUCACUUACACGGAGUUGAUAAAGGGCCUUGGGAAAGCUGGAAGAACAGAAGAGGCUUAUGAAUUUUUUCUUCAAAUGCAAAGAGAAGGUUGUAAGCCGGACAUAGUCCUAAUGAAUAAUCUCGUGAACAUCUUGGGCAAGGCUGGGCGAUUGGAUGAUGUUGUUAAGCUGUUUGAGGAAAUGGAAAGUUUGCACUGUGUCCCUAAUGUGGUUACGUACAAUACUGUCAUCAAGGCCCAUUUUGAUUCCAAGGCACGCGUGUCUGAAGCUGCUUCUUGGUUGGAGAAAAUGAAGGAAAAAGGAAUCGAACCCAGUGCAUUUACUUACUCAAUUCUUAUCGAUGGGUUUUGCAAAACAAAUCGAGUGGAGAAAGCCUUGAUGCUUCUUGAGGAGAUGGAUGAGAAGGGCUUUCCUCCGUGCCCAGCAGCCUACUGUAGCUUGAUUGAUGCUCUUGGGAAAGCAAAACGUUAUGAUGCAGCAACUGAAUUAUUUCAGGAACUAAAAGAGAACUGUGGUUCUUCCACCUCUAGAGUCUAUGCCGUGAUAAUCAAGCAUUUCGGUAAGUGUGGCCGUCUGAAUGAUGCGGUAGCACUUUUUGAGGAAAUGAAACAACUAGGGUGUGUCCCUGAUGUCUAUGCCUACAAUGCCCUCAUGUCUGGUAUGGUAAGGAUGGGAAUGAUGGAUGAAGCACAGUCGAUGCUUCGAGCAAUGCAAGAGCAGGGUUGCGUUCCAGAUAUAAAUUCUCUCAAUAUCAUUUUGAAUGGCGUGGCAAAGUCAGGUGGACCAAUACGUGCCAUGGAGAUGCUCUCAAACAUGAAACAGUCCAGUUUCAAGCCAGAUGCUGUGUCAUACAACACAGUUCUCGGUGCUCUUAGCCAUGCUGGAAUGUUUGAGGAGGCCGCUAAACUGAUGAAAGAAAUGAACUCGAUGGGGUUUAAGUACGAUCUAAUUACAUACUCAUCAAUACUCGAGGCAAUUGGAAAAGUCGAUGAUGUAUCUGCUAAUUCAGUUAGCUAAAGACCGUGUACGAUUCUCCUUCAUCUUUUCUCCGGCUUUAGCUUAUAUAUAUAGCUGGUUUCACCAAACUCUUGCUUUGUUCUGGCAAACAAAGAGGUGAAGAAGCUCAGAAAAGUAUCACAGCUCAAGGCAAAGAUCAUUCUUAAAUGAACCGAUCGAAGAUUAUGAACACCAUAACAAUAGUUCUUAUUUAUUGAAGAACAUGAGAGAACCUCUAUGGUCCAAUGUAAGUCCAACUGAAUCAAUCUGCUUUCAUUCUACUACAUUAUUUAUGCAUCAAA
This is a non-coding RNA of Musa acuminata subsp. malaccensis (wild Malaysian banana), 2636 nucleotides long. The record is from RefSeq and is a predicted model, not a curated record. NCBI's taxonomy places the organism in Eukaryota, Viridiplantae, Streptophyta, Magnoliopsida, Zingiberales, Musaceae.